CGGUUGUGCGCCAGGUCGUGGCGCUGCCAGGCCGGCUGGAAGCCGGCCAGGCCAGUGUGUUCGUACUCCCGCACGGCCGU
Molecule: transfer RNA, 80 nt
Filed under: Thiohalobacter sp. COW1
Lineage: Bacteria; Pseudomonadati; Pseudomonadota; Gammaproteobacteria; Thiohalobacterales; Thiohalobacteraceae
Description: tRNA-Ser
Source: RNAcentral